CGGGUCGGAGCCAUGGUGGUGGCAAAUUCAAGCCCCGUAAACCCCGUAGUGUUCUUCGAUGUCAGCAUCGGCGGCCAGGAAAUUGGCAGCAUGAAGAUCGAGCUGUUUGCAGAUGUCGUGCCCAAGACAGCGGAGAAUUUCAGGCAGUUCUGCACUGGAGAAUUCAGAAAAGAUGGGGUUCCAAUAGGAUAUAAAGGAAGCACGUUCCACAGGGUCAUAAAGGAUUUCAUGAUUCAGGGUGGAGAUUUUGUUAAUGGAGAUGGUACUGGAGUCGCCAGUAUUUACCGGGGCCCAUUUGCAGAUGAAAAUUUCAAACUCAGACACUCAGCUCCAGGCCUGCUUUCCAUGGCAAACAGUGGUCCUAGUACAAAUGGCUGUCAGUUCUUUAUCACCUGUUUGAAGUGCAACUGGCUGGAUGGGAAGCGCGUAGUGUUCAGAAAAAUCAUUGAUGGACUUCUAGUGAUGAGUAAGAUUGAGAAUGUUCCUACAGGCCCUAACAAUAAGCCUAAACUGCCUGUGGUAAUCUCACAAUGUGGGGAGAUGUAGUCCAGGCCAAGACUGAAUCAUGAAUGAGGGCUUCCUUUGCUGUCCUGACUUUUCUGAGUCAGAAAGCUGGACUGGCCUCUGCGUUUGCAUUCUGGCCUGCUGCAGAAGUACCAGACCCAG
Molecule: RNA transcript, 666 nt
Organism: Octodon degus (degu)
Lineage: Eukaryota; Metazoa; Chordata; Mammalia; Rodentia; Octodontidae
Gene name: peptidyl-prolyl cis-trans isomerase H pseudogene
Exons: 1
Source: RefSeq, a predicted model, not a curated record